AGCUCUUCAGCAUCCUCCCCGGGUUCGGGUUCAAAUUCCUCAGCGAGCUGCCACCAAAAGGCAUUUCCAGAGAGGAUGAGGCAGAAGGAGGACGGGAACCUAUUGCGGAAAUCCUCUCUGCUGCAGACGUCGACAGAGGAAGGCAAAAUCUACUACGAACCAGACGCCACCAAUGAUUUUGAUGAUGAAGAGCCCGAUGACGACUUGGAUGUGUGAAGGAGAAACAGGGGACCUGAUUUUUUCCCCAGAUCUGGAACUGGAAUCCUUUUACGUCUUCCUGGAGAGCUGCUUUCCUCUGCAACAUGGGAAUGAUGCCAGACAGAAUCAGUCUGGGCGCUGGGAAUGGACUGGCAGGGCAAAUUGGAACCCGGGGCCAUCCAAAGGGAGAGAAGAACAAUCCAGAUUUGCUGGUUCCUCUGGGAAAAAGGACAGGAAUAAGAAAGUGACCUGCAGGAAAUUGGUUUGGAUCCCUUUGCUGAUGGUGGAAAGAGAUUUGGUUUAACCGUCUUUUUGAGGAAGGAGAGAUUCCUAGCCAGGCAGCCAAUAAACUACCUGAGUGC
Molecule: non-coding RNA, 560 nt
Organism: Pseudonaja textilis
Lineage: Eukaryota; Metazoa; Chordata; Lepidosauria; Squamata; Elapidae
Source: RefSeq, a predicted model, not a curated record